AUAUCAAUAAGCGGAGGAAAAGAAACCAACAGGGAUUGCCCUAGUAACGGCGAGUGAAGCGGCAACAGCUCAAAUUUGAAAUCUGGCUCUUUCAGAGUCCGAGUUGUAAUUUGCAGAGGGCGCUUUGGCUUUGGCAGCGGUCCAAGUUCCUUGGAACAGGACGUCACAGAGGGUGAGAAUCCCGUACGUGGUCGCUAGCUAUUGCCGUGUAAAGCCCCUUCGACGAGUCGAGUUGUUUGGGAAUGCAGCUCUAAAUGGGAGGUAAAUUUCUUCUAAAGCUAAAUAUUGGCCAGAGACCGAUAGCGCACAAGUAGAGUGAUCGAAAGAUGAAAAGCACUUUGGAAAGAGAGUCAAACAGCACGUGAAAUUGUUGAAAGGGAAGCGCUUGCAGCCAGACUUGCUUGCAGUUGCUCAUCCGGGCUUUUGCCCGGUGCACUCUUCUGUAGGCAGGCCAGCAUCAGUUUGGGCGGUGGGAUAAAGGUCUCUGUCACGUACCUCUCUUCGGGGAGGCCUUAUAGGGGAGACGACAUACCACCAGCCUAGACUGAGGUCCGCGCAUCUGCUAGGAUGCUGGCGUAAUGGCUGUAAGCGGCCCGUCUUGAAACACGGACCAAGGAGUCUAACAUCUAUGCGAGUGUUUGGGUGUCAAGCCCGAGCGCGUAAUGAAAGUGAACGGAGGUGGGAACCCGCAAGGGUGCACCAUCGACCGAUCCUGAAGUUUACGGAAGGAUUUGAGUAAGAGCAUGGCUGUUGGGACCCGAAAGAUGGUGAACUAUGCUUGAAUAGGGUGAAGCCAGAGGAAACUCUGGUGGAGGCUCGCAGCGGUUCUGACGUGCAAAUCGAUCGUCAAAUUUGGGCAUAGGGGCGAAAGACUAAUCGAACUAUCUAGUAGCUGGUUCCUGCC
RNAcentral lists this ribosomal RNA (904 nucleotides) under Bipolaris sorokiniana. RNAcentral describes it as "LSU rRNA". It matches the Rfam family "Eukaryotic large subunit ribosomal RNA", at positions 40 to 962 of the family's 3401-position model. The record is from RNAcentral. RNAcentral also lists the same sequence under 2 other names. Lineage: Eukaryota; Fungi; Ascomycota; Dothideomycetes; Pleosporales; Pleosporaceae.